This 853-nucleotide ribosomal RNA is filed under the name Allelochaeta elegans. Its description in RNAcentral is "partial 28S large subunit ribosomal RNA". It matches the Rfam family "Eukaryotic large subunit ribosomal RNA", at positions 61 to 941 of the family's 3401-position model. The record is from RNAcentral. RNAcentral also lists the same sequence under 1 other name. Lineage: Eukaryota; Fungi; Ascomycota; Sordariomycetes; Amphisphaeriales; Sporocadaceae.
GAAACCAACAGGGAUUGCCCUAGUAACGGCGAGUGAAGCGGCAACAGCUCAAAUUUGAAAUCUGGCCCUUGGGUCCGAAUUGUAAUUUGUAGAGGAUGUUUUUGGUGCGGUAUCUUCCGAGUUCCUUGGAACAGGACGCCUUAGAGGGUGAGAGCCCCGUACGGUUGAAUGCCUAGCCUUUGUAAAACUCCUUCGACGAGUCGAGUAGUUUGGGAAUGCUGCUCUAAAUGGGAGGUAAAUUUCUUCUAAAGCUAAAUACUGGCCAGAGACCGAUAGCGCACAAGUAGAGUGAUCGAAAGAUGAAAAGCACUUUGAAAAGAGGGUUAAAUAGCACGUGAAAUUGUUGAAAGGGAAGGAUUUAUGACCAGACUUUUUCUAGGCGAAUCAUCCGGUGUUCUCACCGGUGCACUUCGUUUAGUUUAGGCCAGCAUCGAUUUUCGGGGCGGGAUAAAAGCUUUAGGAAUGUGGCUCCCUCGGGAGUGUUAUAACCUAUUGUAUAAUACCGCCCUGGGGAUCGAGGUACGCGCUUCUGCAAGGAUGCUGGCGUAAUGGUUAUCAAUCACCCGUCUUGAAACACGGACCAAGGAGUCGAACAUUUGUGCAAGUGUUUGGGUGUUAAACCCUCACGCGUAAUGAAAGUGAACGGAGGUGAGAGCCCUUACGGGUGCAUCAUCGACCGAUCCUGAUGUCUUCGGAUGGAUUUGAGUAAGAGCAUAACUGUUCGGACCCGAAAGAUGGUGAACUAUGCGUGGAUAGGGUGAAGCCAGAGGAAACUCUGGUGGAGGCUCGCAGCGGUUCUGACGUGCAAAUCGAUCGUCAAAUCUGCGCAUGGGGGCGAAAGACUAAUCGAACC